GGGGGGUACGUUUCGGGAUAUUGGGCGUAAGCGCGCGCAGGCGGUUUCUUAAGUCUGAUGUGAAAGCCCACGGCUCCCCUUUGGAGGGUCAUUGGAAACUGGGGAACUUGAGUGCAGAAGAGAUUAGUGGAAUUCCACGUGUAGCGGUGAAAUGCGUAGAGAUGUGGAGGAACACCAGUGGCGAAGGCGGCUUUUUGGUCUGUAACUGACGCUGAGGCGCGAAAGCGUGGGGAGCAAACAGGAUUAGAUACCCUGGUAGUCCACGCCGUAAACGAUGAGUGCUAAGUGUUAGAGGGUUUCCGCCCUUUAGUGCUGCAGCUAACGCAUUAAGCACUCCGCCUGGGGAGUACGGUCGCAAGACUGAAACUCAAAGGAAUUGACGGGGGCCCGCACAAGCGGUGGAGCAUGUGGUUUAAUUCGAAGCAACGCGAAGAACCUUACCAGGUCUUGACAUCCUCUGACAACUCUAGAGAUAGAGCGUUCCCCUUCGGGGGACAGAGUGACAGGUGGUGCAUGGUUGUCGUCAGCUCGUGUCGUGAGAUGUUGGGUUAAGUCCCGCAACGAGCGCAACCCUUGAUCUUAGUUGCCAGCAUUUAGUUGGGCACUCUAAGGUGACUGCCGGUGACAAACCGGAAGAAUGUGGGGAUGACGUCAAAUCAUCGUGCCCCUUAUGACCUGGGCUACACACGUGCUACUGUGGAUGGUACAAAGGGCUGCAAGACCGCGAGGUCAAGCCUAUCCCAUAUCACCAUUCUCAGUUCAGAUUGUACGCUGCAACUCGCCUACAUGAAGCUGGAAUCGCUAGUAAUCGCGGAUCAGCAUGCCGCGGGUGAAUACGUUCCCGGGCCUUGUACACACCGCCUGUCACACCACGAGAGUUUGUAACACCCGAACUCGGUGGAGUAACCGUAAGGAGCUAGCCGCCUAAGGUGGGACAGAUGAUUGGGGUGAAUCUAAGGGGGUUCCCCCCCAAAAAAAACCCCGCAAAUUUGCCCCCCCUUUUUUUUAAAAUUUCCCCCCCUUGGGAGGGAAAAAAAAAAAAAACCCCAAAAAAUUUUUUUAAAAA
Molecule: ribosomal RNA, 1066 nt
Filed under: Priestia megaterium
Lineage: Bacteria; Bacillati; Bacillota; Bacilli; Caryophanales; Bacillaceae
Description: bacterial SSU rRNA
Rfam family: Bacterial small subunit ribosomal RNA
Source: RNAcentral